AUUGAACGCUGGCGGCAUGCCUUACACAUGCAAGUCGAACGGUAACAGGUCUUCGGAUGCUGACGAGUGGCGAACGGGUGAGUAAUACAUCGGAACGUGCCCGAUCGUGGGGGAUAACGAAGCGAAAGCUUUGCUAAUACCGCAUAAGAUCUAAGGAUGAAAGCAGGGGACUGCAAGGCCUUGUGCGAACGGAGCGGCCGAUGGCAGAUUAGGUAGUUGGUGGGAUAAAAGCUUACCAAGCCGACGAUCUGUAGCUGGUCUGAGAGGACGACCAGCCACACUGGGACUGAGACACGGCCCAGACUCCUACGGGAGGCAGCAGUGGGAAUUUUGGACAAUGGGCGAAAGCCUGAUCCAGCCAUGCCGCGUGCAGGAUGAAGGCCUUCGGGUUGUAAACUGCUUUUGUACGGAACGAAAAGACUCUUUCUAAUAAAGAGGGUCCAUGACGGUACCGUAAGAAUAAGCACCGGCUAACUACGUGCCAGCCGCCGCCGUAA
RNAcentral lists this ribosomal RNA (497 nucleotides) under uncultured bacterium. Its description in RNAcentral is "partial 16S ribosomal RNA". It matches the Rfam family "Bacterial small subunit ribosomal RNA", at positions 30 to 523 of the family's 1533-position model. The record is from RNAcentral.